UACGUAGGGUCCAAGCGUUAAUCGGAUUUACUGGGCGUAAAGCGUGCGUAGGCGGCUUUUUAAGUCGGAUGUGAAAUCCCUGAGCUUAACUUAGGAAUUGCAUUCGAUACUGGGAAGCUAGAGUAUGGGAGGGGAUGGUAGAAUUCCAGGUGUAGCGGUGAAAUGCGUAGAGAUCUGGAGGAAUACCGAUGGCGAAGGCAGCCAUCUGGCCUAAUACUGACGCUGAGGUACGAAAGCAUGGGGAGCAAACAGGAUUAGAUACCCGAGUAGUCC
RNAcentral lists this ribosomal RNA (273 nucleotides) under uncultured Acinetobacter sp. RNAcentral's name for it is "partial 16S ribosomal RNA". It matches the Rfam family "Bacterial small subunit ribosomal RNA", at positions 524 to 796 of the family's 1533-position model. The record is from RNAcentral. Lineage: Bacteria; Pseudomonadati; Pseudomonadota; Gammaproteobacteria; Moraxellales; Moraxellaceae.